AUAAUAAUUAGUCUUUUAAAUGAAGGCUGGAAUGAAUGAUUGGACGAGGUAGAUUCUGUCUCAUUAAAAUUAAAAUUUAAAUUUAAUUUUUAAGUUAAAAAGCUUAAAUAUUAUUAAAGGACGAGAAGACCCUAUAGAGCUUUAUAAUAUAAUUAUUAAUAAAUUUUAAUUUUAUUUUAUUAAUUAAAUAUUAUUUUGUUGGGGU
RNAcentral lists this ribosomal RNA (205 nucleotides) under Spinarge metallica. RNAcentral's name for it is "partial large subunit ribosomal RNA". Lineage: Eukaryota; Metazoa; Arthropoda; Insecta; Hymenoptera; Argidae. The record is from RNAcentral.